GACGAACGCUGGCGGCGUGCUUAACACAUGCAAGUCGAACGCUGAAGCUCAGCUUUUGUUGGGUGGAUGAGUGGCGAACGGGUGAGUAACACGUGAGUAACCUGCCCCCUUCUUUGGGAUAACGCCCGGAAACGGGUGCUAAUACUGGAUAUUCACUGGCUUUCGCAUGGGGGUUGGUGGAAAGGUUUUUCUGGUGGGGGAUGGGCUCGCGGCCUAUCAGCUUGUUGGUGGGGUGAUGGCCUACCAAGGCUUUGACGGGUAGCCGGCCUGAGAGGGUGACCGGUCACAUUGGGACUGAGAUACGGCCCAGACUCCUACGGGAGGCAGCAGUGGGGAAUAUUGCACAAUGGGCGAAAGCCUGAUGCAGCGACGCCGCGUGAGGGAUGGAGGCCUUCGGGUUGUAAACCUCUUUCGCUCAUGGUCAAGCCGCAGCUUUGGGUUGUGGUGAGGGUAGUGGGUAAAGAAGCGCCGGCUAACUACGUGCCAGCAGCCGCGGUAAUACGUAGGGCGCGAGCGUUGUCCGGAAUUAUUGGGCGUAAAGGGCUUGUAGGCGGUUGGUCGCGUCUGCCGUGAAAUCCUCUGGCUUAACUGGGGGCGUGCGGUGGGUACGGGCUGACUUGAGUGCGGUAGGGGAGACUGGAACUCCUGGUGUAGCGGUGGAAUGCGCAUAUAUCACGAAGAGCACCGGUGGCGAAGGCUGGUCUCUGGGCCGUUACUGACGCUGAGGAGCGAAAGCGUGGGAGAGCGAACUGGAUAUAUCCCCUAGUAGUCCCUGUGGCUAAUUCAACAGUGGAUUCAUGUUAUCGAUCCCGUCGACCUCGAGGAGGGGUGCUGGUACCAGUUUUGUUCCUUUAGUGAUGGGUAAUUAGUGGGGCUUUGUUUGUGUGUGCUUCCCGCCGUUGUGUGUGUUGUUGUGACUGGUUGGUGUGUAUGCUGGUC
RNAcentral lists this ribosomal RNA (939 nucleotides) under uncultured Actinomyces sp. RNAcentral describes it as "bacterial SSU rRNA". It matches the Rfam family "Bacterial small subunit ribosomal RNA". Lineage: Bacteria; Bacillati; Actinomycetota; Actinomycetes; Actinomycetales; Actinomycetaceae. The record is from RNAcentral.